RNAcentral lists this transfer RNA (72 nucleotides) under Candidatus Tagabacteria bacterium CG09_land_8_20_14_0_10_41_14. RNAcentral describes it as "tRNA-Asn". It matches the Rfam family "tRNA". Rfam says of the family: Transfer RNA (tRNA) molecules are approximately 80 nucleotides in length. Their secondary structure includes four short double-helical elements and three loops (D, anti-codon, and T loops). RNAcentral also lists the same sequence under 1 other name. Lineage: Bacteria; Candidatus Tagaibacteriota. The record is from RNAcentral.
UCCGGAGUAGCUCAAUGGUAGAGCAGCUCCCUGUUAAGGAGUUGGUUGCCCGUUCGAAUCGGGCCUCCGGAG